UUGGAGGGCAAGUCUGGUGCCAGCAGCCGCGGUAAUUCCAGCUCCAAUAGCGUAUAUUUAAGUUGUUGCAGUUAAAAAGCUCGUAGUUGAAUUUCGGGGUCAGUAGGUCGGUCGUGUCACUGGUAUGAACUGGUUUUACUGAUUCCUCCCUCUUGAAGAACUGUAAUGCCAUUAAUUUGGUGUUGCAGGGAAUCAGGACUGUUACUUUGAAAAAAUUAGAGUGUUUAAAGCAGGCUUUAGCUUGAAUACAUUAGCAUGGAAUAAUGAAGUAGGACGUUUGAUCCUAUUUUGUUGGUUUCUAGGAUUGACGUAAUGAUUAAUAGGGAUAGUUGGGGGCAUUAGUAUUCAAUUGUCAGAGGUGAAAUUCUUGGAUUUAUUGAAGACUAACUACUGCGAAAGCAUUUGCCAAGGAUGUUUUCAUUAAUCAAGAACGAAAGUUAGGGGAUCGAAGACGAUCAGAUACCGUCGUAGUCUUAACCAUAAACUAUGCCGACUAGGGAUCGGAUGAUGUUAAUUUUUUAAUGACUCAUUCGGCGCCUUACGGGAAAC
Molecule: ribosomal RNA, 549 nt
Filed under: uncultured Glomeromycotina
Lineage: Eukaryota; Fungi; Glomeromycota
Description: SSU rRNA
Rfam family: Eukaryotic small subunit ribosomal RNA
Source: RNAcentral